This is a long non-coding RNA of Serinus canaria (Common canary), 751 nucleotides long. RefSeq lists it as uncharacterized. NCBI's taxonomy places the organism in Eukaryota, Metazoa, Chordata, Aves, Passeriformes, Fringillidae. The transcript has 2 exons. The record is from RefSeq and is a predicted model, not a curated record.
GUGAACCUCGUUUUUCACAGCCGGUUACUCGGCUAUCCCGUAUCCCCUUCUGCCUCCUCCACUCAGGAUGUGAGAUGGCGGUGGCCACGCCAUCUCAGACCCCUCCCCCUUUACCUUCCCUGUGCCUUCGCUACCCGAACUCCCCUCCUAUUCAUCUGAACACCCUGUUGCAUUGCCUACUAAUGACUCUGCUAAUCUGUACUCCUUGUGAGAUGAUAUGCUGCUUCAGCUUUCACCCGUGAGCUCUACCCCGGCUGCCCAGGGUCCUGAUGCUCCUGCUCUGGACUACAACUUCCAGCAUGCCUUAGGGCACGCCCCUCCUGGGGAACCAGAACCACGCCCACCGCUAUCCUGGAAGCACUGAUCCCCAGAAUGGUGGAAUUCACGGCGGCCACGCGAGCAGAGGUAUCGGAGGACAAAAACAACAUUGUGCUUGCACCCCCUCCUCCUCGGAUGAAGACCUCACUUCUCCUGGAUCCAGUGAUUCUCUUGAUCCAUGGCAGAAGACCCGGCUGACCACGCCACGGGGGGUGUCGGCUGGAGAAAGGACCCUGAAGGUCAAACUGAAAAAGUGAAUAAGGGAAAUCUUUGGUACUGUCCUGAGUACGGUGCUCCCAAGCUCUGCUUAUGUGUACAAAGCUGUACUUUUUCUUCUAUGCCGCAUCUGGGAGCAGUGAUAGCAUGAGUGCUGACCUGUUGCUUCUCCCCACCUGAGCUUAUCAUUUUUAAUAAAGGCAUUAAAAAGGAGAAA